RNAcentral lists this ribosomal RNA (254 nucleotides) under uncultured bacterium. RNAcentral's name for it is "partial 16S ribosomal RNA". It matches the Rfam family "Bacterial small subunit ribosomal RNA", at positions 524 to 776 of the family's 1533-position model. The record is from RNAcentral.
UACGUAGGGGGCAAGCGUUGUCCGGAAUUACUGGGCGUAAAGGGCUCGUAGGCGGCCAACUAAGUCAGACGUGAAAUCCCCCGGCUUAACCAGGGAACUGCGUCUGAUACUGGAUGGCUUGAGUUUGGGAGAGGGAUGCGGAAUUCCAGGUGUAGCGGUGAAAUGCGUAGAUAUCUGGAGGAACACCGGUGGCGAAGGCGACAUCCUGGACCAACACUGACGCUGAGUGAGCGAAAGCCAGGGGAGCAAACGGG